CACAGCUAAGAUCAACAGAGGCACUCAAGCUGGAGAUGCCUCAAUAUAAACAAGAGGUGCUGGUCACACUGCAUUCUCUAGGAAGUUUUCUUGAUUCUGGAACUUGCUGCAGGCUGCCAGAGUCCGUGCUUGUUAUAGUUCUGGGCAUUUCUCCCCCACUUCCAGAGGAGUGUGAUGAGGCCUGAGGUGUGGAGAAAUUAGUACAUUUGAUACAAUCAUACCUGAACCUUCAAGACCAGCUCAAUCAAAAUUUUUUUUAUGGUUCACACCUGAUGUCACUGAAGUCAGUGGCAAAACUCCCAGUGACCCUAAUUAGGCUGGGUCCCAUUGUGAAAUUAUUCCAGUACUUUCCACCAAUCAGAGUGAGUCAGCAGGAGCACAGGCGAGCAGCAGAAUAAGACUAGAUGAUUCAGCUGACAACACUUCCAGGGAAGUUUGCAGACAGUUUGCUCACACAGUAGAAUCUUUCUGGUUUGCAGGUAAUGCAGCUGAAUCAGGACUUUGGAGGAAAUAAUAAAUCUUAGAAUAAAAACUCAUGAACAUUCUAUCUAUGGUACUUCUACAUGGCCCACACUAUUGUAUAAUCUGAGCAACUCAAAAUCUUUAAUGUAUUUAUCCUCACAACACACCUGUGAGGUAGGGAAGUGCUAUUAUCACCAUUUUAUGGGUUGUACACUGAGGCCUGGAGAAACUAAAGGGUAGGUCCUGUUGUGCCAGACGAUCAGAAAUAAGGAGAAAACAGAAAAGGAUAAGACAGAAAACAACAAAUUCCAUUUCCACCAAAGGAAGUGUUUAGACUGAGGAAUUACACAGAACUUCCUACUUUAAGUAUUUGCAAGACAUCAACAGCCCUGUCUACAUGGGCAAAAAAGAUUCUUCUGUACUCCAUGAGUUGUGAAUGGUGUUACAGACGGUAGACGUCAAAAAAGGGAAGACGUUUGGAAAAACCCCGACAUUGUUGCCACAGGACUGCCCUUCAUUAUUUUCUGCAAUCUGAAAAUUAGUUAACGGGUAUCCAUCAUAGAAGUGCUUCUUAUACAAUUUGGGCUAGACUGUGCUGCUCUGAUGUUCGAGGCAGAGUAAAGGAUGCAAGGAGCUGGCUCCCUGACUUUCAUCUGAGUGCACAGAUGCACUUACAAUUGCCUGUUUCUUCUUUGAUGGGACUGCUUUUGUAAGCAAGAUUGACCCUAACAGCUGAUCCUGCAAUUCUUACCCAUGAGAGUAGACCCAGUGAGGUGAAUAGGACUACAGACCUGAAUGAGGGCUGCAGGGUUGGGUCCUGAGAUUUUAAUGGGCGUGAUUUCCCCAGAUAAUGACCAAAUGUUAUUUAAAAACUUUAAAACCGAAUGUAAUUGUUACUUUGUUUUUAAAACUAAACAGAAUUGUUGACUGUAGAGAUAACUUUCUUACAUAAGAAUGAAGACAGUAUGUUGGAUAAGAUCUGGUUUACAAUUUACAAAAUCAUACAGAGACAACUUCCCAGGUCCUUCACCUUUUACUCAGGUGGACUCCCUUGGAUUUCAGUGGACAUAGUUUAAACUAACUGAGUCCAAACAAAAUUGAAUGAAACUAGACAAAUACAAAUCAUUUACAGAUAUUGUGUAUGGAGUAAAUAUAAUGCACAGAUGUAUUGGUGGUUAUUCAAAGUUUUAAAAAAUGUGUAAACCUGUUUUACGUGGUUUCUAAACAAAAUAAGCCACCUCUGAGCUCAGUUAAAUGAAGUCAAUGGAAUCACAUUUGGCUAGAAUGUGGCCAAAUAACUUUAGUGUGCUGUGUUAUUUGUAUGUAACUAAAGAAUAAUUAUGAACAGUUAAGUGACUGGUUAUUAUAAGUCUGUGCAUGAGAUUUUGAUUGAUAAGGCCUAGUCUCAUAAUCAGCUGGGUCCUGGGUAAAUAGACUGAUGAGGAAGAAAGUCUGGAAGCUUCUGGGAGACAGAGAAUCCUGUAGGAAGUGCAACAGGAGUGCUAAUCUCAGGAGGUGAAAAGUUUGUAAGAAUGGGUACCCAGUUGAUUUAAUACUGUAGGACGGGACCCAGGAUGGUAAAGUGGAGAUAAAAGCCAGAAAGGGAAUGGGAAGAUUAGUGAUUUAUAUGAUUAAAUAAGUUAAGUGAAUCUUGAACAGUGAUGAACUGAAUUAUUCAAAUAAAUUUGGCAUAUUGAUCUUAUGGGAUUUAUCUAUGGGAAUCUACAUAAAAAGAAGU
Mauremys reevesii (Reeves's turtle) is the source of this 2200-nucleotide long non-coding RNA. RefSeq lists it as uncharacterized. The record is from RefSeq and is a predicted model, not a curated record. The transcript has 8 exons. NCBI's taxonomy places the organism in Eukaryota, Metazoa, Chordata, Testudines, Geoemydidae.